Molecule: long non-coding RNA, 369 nt
Filed under: Brassica napus (rape)
Lineage: Eukaryota; Viridiplantae; Streptophyta; Magnoliopsida; Brassicales; Brassicaceae
Description: long non-coding RNA (BNAP_LNC019408)
Source: RNAcentral
UUGUGUUGUCGAUCUCUUUUUUAUUAUUUGAGGAGCAUUAUUAACAAUUAACUUUAUCUUUAUGUGUGAUUAACCAAAAUGUCAUUACUUAUGUGUCAUCAUGAGAAUCAUUCUCACAACCUUUAUUAAAUAAUUUUUCCUUGCCUAGACUAAUUACAUGUAAUGCUAUUAUUUAUUAUUUGGAUCCUUUCAUACAAUAUACAAUAUGAUUCUUUAUUGCAUUACUAAAAACCAAUUGAUAGUUAUAAAUAAUAUAUGAAUUGUGAUUACAUUACUAAAAUUAUGGUGUACACCGACGGUUAUUAACAAUACACUUAGACAACCACGAAAGGUUGUCUUUCCCAAAUGUGGUGUGGCAUAAUAUUAGUG